AGACGGAGGAUCCAAGCGUUAUUCGGAAUGACUGGGCGUAAAGAGUUGCGUAGGUGGCACUGUAUUGCGUGUGAUGAAAUCUUGAGGCUCAACCUUAAGGCUAUUACGCGAACAGCAGAGCUAGAGCAUAUGAGGGGUACCUGGAAUUCCUAGUGUAGGAGUGAAAUCCGUAGAUAUUAGGAGGAACACCAAUGGCGUAGGCAGGGUACUGGCAUAUUGCUGACACUAAGGCACGAAAGCGUGGGGAGC
Molecule: ribosomal RNA, 249 nt
Filed under: uncultured bacterium
Lineage: Bacteria
Description: partial 16S ribosomal RNA
Rfam family: Bacterial small subunit ribosomal RNA
Source: RNAcentral